This 2300-nucleotide ribosomal RNA is filed under the name Nothopoda sp. RNAcentral describes it as "partial small subunit ribosomal RNA". It matches the Rfam family "Eukaryotic small subunit ribosomal RNA". The record is from RNAcentral. Lineage: Eukaryota; Metazoa; Arthropoda; Arachnida; Trombidiformes; Eriophyidae.
UACCUGGUUGAUCCUGCCAGUAGUCAUAUGCUUGUCUCGAAGAUUAAGCCAUGCAUGUACAAGUUCAUGCCCCUAGAUAAUUGGGCGAAACCGCGAAUGGCUCAUUAAAUCAGUCAUAAUCUAUUUGAUGUUAAAAGUUAUAUGGAUAACUGUGGUAAUUCUAGAGCUAAUACAUGCACUAAAUAGGCAACUGCAGGGCAACUUGCAGAAGCCUGGCGUUUAUUAGACUAAGACCAAUGAUUGGGCGCAAGCUCAAUCUUAAUAUGGUGACUCUGAAUAAAUAAUGGGUGAAAGCCCAUGAUGCUGACCCUCUUUUAACGCUCUUCGGAGUUUGAGGGCAAAUCAUUCGAGUGUCUGCUCUAUCAACUGUGGAUGGUAGGAUAUAUGCCUACCAUGGUGGUAACGGGUAACGGGGAGUUAGGGCUCGACUCCGGAGAACAAGCCUGAGAAACGGCUAGUAGGACUAAGGUCUGCAGCAGGCGCGAAACUUACACAAUGGGAGCACAUCCCUGAUGUAGUGAAGGAAAAUAACGAUGUAUCUUGCAUUACUGCAUGAUACAAUUGGAAUGAGACGACUGUAAAUACGUUAGUCGAGUAACAAAUGGAGGGCAAGUCUGGUGCCAGCAGCCGCGGUAAUUCCAGCUCCAUUAGCAUAUAUUAAAGUUGUUGCGGUUAAAACGCUCGUAGUUGAAAUUAACUUGGUUUUUCAUCACUCGCUUCCAUUCAAAGGCAGCGUUAACUUCGGUUUUCGCUUGCCUGGUUGCCGUAGUGCAUAUAAAGCCAAUGUUUCGCCACUUUAAACGAGUGCGAAGCGGGGUGUUAUAACAUUUAUGUUGGCUUUCAGUCAAUAGCUAUAGCACCAAGUUUACCUUGAGAAAAUUAGAGUGCUCACAGCAGGCAGUUGAGGUGUAAAAGCCUUUUAAUGCUUGAAUAAUGUUGCAUGGAAUAAUAGAAUAUGGCCUCGGUUCUAUUCUGUUGGUCUUAUAGAACAACAAAAAAGUUGGUAAUUGCACCAAAGUUUCUUCGUAUGUUGGUUCUGCUUUAGUUGCAGCGUUUGUGUUACCGUAGCGAUCAAAAGUUACGCGUCGCGACGUUUGUCCAACUGAGUGUUCCAUAAAAGGCAUGCGUUGUAUACGAGCAACCACCAACUGAGGCAAUGGUUAAAAGAAAUAGUCGCGGCGGCAUCAGUACUGCAUCGCUAGAGGUGAAAUUCUUAGACCGAUGCAAGACUAACUGAAGCGAAAGCGUUUGCCGAGGAUAUUUUCAUUAAUCAAGAACGAAAGUUAGAGGUUCGAAGGCGAUCAGAUACCGCCCUAGUUCUAACCAUAAACGUUGCCAACUAGCAAUUGGCCUGAAUUCUAUUUUAACAAAUUGAAUGAUUCGGCCAGCGGCUCUAGGGAAACCAAAGUCUUUGGGUUCCGGGGGAAGUAUGAUUGCAAAGUUGAAACUUAAAGGAAUUGACGGAAGGGCACCACCAGGAGUGGAGCCUGCGGCUUAAUUUGACUCAACACGGGGAAACUUACUAGAUUAGAACACAGGAAUGAUUGACAGAUUGAUAGCUCUUUCUUGAUUCUGUGAGUGGUGGUGCAUGGCCGUUCUUGAUUCGUAGAUUGAUUCGUCUGCUUAAUUGCGAUAACGAGUGAGACCUCACUUUACUAACUAGUCGCUCGGUGCAUCUUUGACGCAAAAGUCUUGCUAGUGGUGCGCGUAAAAGGCGCUAAAACGUACUUGACGUGUGUCGUUAGUUAAGAUGUCUUUGACUCGCCAGCGGACUUCUUAGAAAGAUAAACGGUGUUUUAGCCGUAAGAAACGAGGCAAUAACAGGUCUGUGAUGCCCUUAGAUACUCUAGGCCGCACGCGUGCUACAAUGGUGUGCGCAGAAAGCUUAUUCGAUACUCGUCCUUAGAGAACUACUAGUUUUGGUUAGGUUUGGCUUUACGGUUAGGCUUAGUCGGACUAGCAAGUGACUGAGGUUUACGGGUUGAGAGAAACCUUGGCUGAAAAGUCAGGGCAAUCAAAAAUUCAUGCCGUGAUUUGGGAUUGGGGUUUGCAAUUGUUGUCCAUGAACGAGGAAUUCCCAGUAAGCGCAAUUCAUCAUAUUGCGUUGAUUACGUCCCUGCCCUUUGUACACACCGCCCGUCGCUACUACCGAUUGGAAGUUUUAGUGAGGCAUUUGGACUUGCAGGACGCUGGAAGUUUCGGCUUUCGUGUUCAGCGGGGAAGUCUGUCGAACUCAAAUUUCUAGAGGAAGUAAAAGUCGUAACAAGGUUUCCGUAGGUGAACCUGCGGAAGGAUCAUUA